UACGUAGGGGGCGAGCGUUGUCCGAAGUUACUGGGCGUAAAGCGCGCGUAGGCGGGAAAUUAAGUGAGAAGUGAAAGGCUGGGGCUCAACCUCAUGCAGUGCUUCUCAUACUGGUUUUCUUGAGGGCGGUAGAGAAAAGUGGAAUGGCUGGUGUAGCGGUGAAAUGCGUAGAUAUCAGUCGGAACACCGGUGGCGAAGGCGGCUUUUUGGGCCGUUCCUGACGCUGAGGCGCGAAAGCGUGGGGAGCGAACAGG
RNAcentral lists this ribosomal RNA (254 nucleotides) under uncultured bacterium. RNAcentral's name for it is "partial 16S ribosomal RNA". It matches the Rfam family "Bacterial small subunit ribosomal RNA", at positions 524 to 776 of the family's 1533-position model. The record is from RNAcentral.